Molecule: long non-coding RNA, 419 nt
Organism: Myripristis murdjan (pinecone soldierfish)
Lineage: Eukaryota; Metazoa; Chordata; Actinopteri; Holocentriformes; Holocentridae
Exons: 3
Source: RefSeq, a predicted model, not a curated record
GUCGCUCCAACAGCACUUUGCCUCCUUACACUCCUUACACAGGAGCCAUCCAACUGCUGCUGGCCUGGUCUUUUUCCUCUAAAGCAGCCGCUUUAUGCCAGUACUCUUUGUAAAAAGGCACUAACCUGGACUUGUGUAUAGAUGGCUGCUGUGUGCUGGAUGGUUGUGGCUCUGGCCUUCUUCCUGUCUGCAGGGACCGGUGUGGAUGCCGUGGACCAGAACCAGCUUCAGACGAUUGUAGCAGACAUCUUGGGAAGGUACAGAAUAGGUGGCCAAUUCAGUCUGGCUGUAAACAUCCCACUGAGCAAUACUCAGGACCUUCAAACUGCUUUGAAGCAAGUCUUUGAUGCUGACCCUGGGGCCACCGUGUCACGUACAGUUUCAGGUGGUCAAGUGUACACCGGUACCUGGGUAGUAGC